Molecule: ribosomal RNA, 467 nt
Filed under: uncultured bacterium
Lineage: Bacteria
Description: bacterial SSU rRNA
Rfam family: Bacterial small subunit ribosomal RNA
Source: RNAcentral
GAUGAACGCUGGCGGCGUGCCUAACACAUGCAAGUCGAACGGAGCUAUUUUGGAAAGUCCUUCGGGACUGGAAUCUAUAGCUUAGUGGCGGACGGGUGAGUAACGCGUGAGCAAUCUGCCCUUAGGUGGGGGAUAACAGCCGGAAACGGCUGCUAAUACCGCAUAAUGCAGAGAGAUGGCAUCUUCUUUCUGCCAAAGGAUUUAUUGCCUUUGGAUGAGCUCGCGUCUGAUUAGCUAGUUGGUGAGGUAACGGCCCACCAAGGCGACGAUCAGUAGCCGGACUGAGAGGUUGAACGGGCCACAUUGGGACUGAGACACGGCCCAGACUCCUACGGGAGGCAGCAGUGGGGAAUAUUGCGCAAUGGGGGCAACCCGUGACGCAGCAACGCCGCGUGAUUGAAGAAGGGCCUUCGGGUUGUAAAGAUCUUAAUCAGGGACGAAUUUUGACGGUACCUGAAGAAUAAGCU